UACGUAGGGUGCGAGCGUUAAUCGGAUUUACUGGGCGUAAAGCGUGCGCAGGCGGUGGUGUAAGGCAGAUGUGAAAUCCCCGGGCUCAACCUGGGAACUGCAUUUGUGACUGCAUCGCUGGAGUGCGGCAGAGGGGGAUGGAAUUCCGCGUGUAGCAGUGAAAUGCGUAGAUAUGCGGAGGAACACCGAUGGCGAAGGCAAUCCCCUGGGCCUGCACUGACGCUCAUGCACGAAAGCGUGGGGAGCAAACAGG
RNAcentral lists this ribosomal RNA (253 nucleotides) under uncultured bacterium. RNAcentral describes it as "partial 16S ribosomal RNA". It matches the Rfam family "Bacterial small subunit ribosomal RNA", at positions 524 to 776 of the family's 1533-position model. The record is from RNAcentral.